UGUGCACCUGUAAAGAAACACAAUAGCAUCAAUCAGCAAAAAAUGUGUUGAAGGUUUAUGCUAAGUAUUGAUGUAUUUUCUUUUUGAUGGGAGGGGAAAGAAGAACACAGAAAUAAUUGUUGUUUAUUUUUACAUCAGUCAACAGCUGAACCGCACUGCAUUUCACCAAUAAGAUGCACGUCCCAAACCUGUGAAUUCUGGGAUCUUGCUGUUUUGCAUGGUACAAAUUUACAGAAACAUUACCAUAUAAUGGUUUUGAAAAGCUUGUCCUUUCACCACUACCAGUAACCGUAUUGCCAGGCGGAGAAGACCGACAACUGCUCUUUCCACAAGAAAGCACUGCUCUGUUGCAUGAACAGUCAACUGGUAGAGGUGAUCUCGUACAGUCUGCCAGACGAAUGAAACUCGAUCUCUUUAGGAUGGAAGAAGAAAAAAAAGGGUUUAAAUAAAAGAAAAUCACAUCUUCAUUCAGGUUUUGCUGAAGUAAUCAUAGGAGUGGGAGAAAUGUGAAUCCCUGCAGUUGCAGAGGUACUCCAUAAAAGUCUUCUUGACUGGUAACAACUAUUGAUCAGAAUUUAACUGAAUGAUGAGAGGAGAAAAUGCUUACCUCCACCAUGGCUUUGGGCAAUAGCUCGGCAC
Molecule: long non-coding RNA, 639 nt
Organism: Chiloscyllium plagiosum (whitespotted bambooshark)
Lineage: Eukaryota; Metazoa; Chordata; Chondrichthyes; Orectolobiformes; Hemiscylliidae
Source: RefSeq, a predicted model, not a curated record